RNAcentral lists this ribosomal RNA (408 nucleotides) under uncultured bacterium. RNAcentral's name for it is "partial 16S ribosomal RNA". It matches the Rfam family "Bacterial small subunit ribosomal RNA", at positions 28 to 526 of the family's 1533-position model. The record is from RNAcentral.
GACGAACGCUGGCGGCGUGCUUAACACAUGCAAGUCGAACGAAGUGUCGAAAGGGGGAGUAAUACGUGGGUAACCUGCCCUCCUUUUUUUGAUAAGCGUUGGAAAAGGGGGCUAAUACCGCAGAAAGGGGGAUGGGCUCGCGGGCUAUCAGCUUGUUGGUGGGGUGAUGGCCUACCAAGGCGGUGACGGGUAGCCGGCCUGAGAGGGUGACCGGUCACAUUGGGACUGAGAUACGGCCCAGACUCCUACGGGAGGCAGCAGUGGGGGAUAUUGCACAAUGGGCGAAAGUCUGAUGCAGCGACGCCGCGUGGGGGAUGAAGGCUUUCGGGUUGUAAACCUCUUUCGCCAGCGAAAGGGUAGGUGGAGAAGAAGCGCCGGCUAACUACGUGCCAGCAGCCGCGGUAAUUC